Molecule: ribosomal RNA, 253 nt
Filed under: uncultured Ruminococcus sp.
Lineage: Bacteria; Bacillati; Bacillota; Clostridia; Eubacteriales; Oscillospiraceae
Description: partial 16S ribosomal RNA
Rfam family: Bacterial small subunit ribosomal RNA
Source: RNAcentral
UACGUAGGGAGCGAGCGUUGUCCGGAAUUACUGGGUGUAAAGGGAGCGUAGGCGGGACGGCAAGUCAGAUGUGAAAACUGAGGGCUCAACCUUCAGACUGCAUUUGAAACUGCUGUUCUUGAGUGAAGUAGAGGUAAGCGGAAUUCGUGGUGUAGCGGUGAAAUGCUUAGAUAUCACGAAGAACUCCGAUUGCGAAGGCAGCUCACUGGACUGCAACUGACACUGAGGCUCGAAAGUGUGGGUAUCAAACAGG